This is a non-coding RNA of Picea glauca (white spruce), 83 nucleotides long. Lineage: Eukaryota; Viridiplantae; Streptophyta; Pinopsida; Pinales; Pinaceae. The record is from Rfam.
UUGCAAUGAUGUGAAAUUCAUCUUGAAAGAAUCCUUAUGGGAGUUCUAUAUGUAAUGCUUAAUCUGAGCGGUUAACUGAGCAA